RNAcentral lists this transfer RNA (85 nucleotides) under Alphaproteobacteria bacterium GM7ARS4. RNAcentral's name for it is "tRNA-Leu". It matches the Rfam family "tRNA". Rfam says of the family: Transfer RNA (tRNA) molecules are approximately 80 nucleotides in length. Their secondary structure includes four short double-helical elements and three loops (D, anti-codon, and T loops). The record is from RNAcentral. Lineage: Bacteria; Pseudomonadati; Pseudomonadota; Alphaproteobacteria.
GCGGGUGUGGCGGAAUUGGUAGACGCGCUGGUUUUAGGUACCAGUGACCUCGGUCAUAGGGGUUCGAGUCCCUUCACCCGCACCA